RNAcentral lists this ribosomal RNA (660 nucleotides) under uncultured Actinomycetales bacterium. RNAcentral's name for it is "bacterial SSU rRNA". It matches the Rfam family "Bacterial small subunit ribosomal RNA", at positions 87 to 761 of the family's 1533-position model. Lineage: Bacteria; Bacillati; Actinomycetota; Actinomycetes; Actinomycetales. The record is from RNAcentral.
GUACUCGAGUGGCGAACGGGUGAGUAACACGUGGGUGAUCUGCCCUGCACUUCGGGAUAAGCCUGGGAGACUGGGUCUAAUACCGGAUAGGAGCCAUUUUUAGUGUGAUGGUUGGAAAGUUUUUUCGGUGUAGGAUGAGCUCGCGGCCUAUCAGCUUGUUGGUGGGGUAAUGGCCUACCAAGGCGGCGACGGGUAGCCGGCCUGAGAGGGUGGACGGCCACAUUGGGACUGAGAUACGGCCCAGACUCCUACGGGAGGCAGCAGUGGGGAAUAUUGCAUAAUGGGCGCAAGCCUGAUGCAGCGACGCCGCGUGGGGGAUGACGGCCUUCGGGUUGUAAACUCCUUUCGCUAGGGACGAAGCUUUUUGUGACGGUACCUAGAUAAGAAGCACCGGCUAACUACGUGCCAGCAGCCGCGGUAAUACGUAGGGUGCGAGCGUUGUCCGGAACUACUGGGCGUAAAGGGCUCGUAGGUGGUUUGUCGCGUCGUCUGUGAAAUUCCGGGGCUUAACUCCGGGCGUGCAGGCGAUACGGGCAUAACUUGAGUACUGUAGGGGUAACUGGAAUUCCUGGUGUAGCGGUGAAAUGCGCAGAUAUCAGGAGGAACACCGAUGGCGAAGGCAGGUUACUGGGCAGUUACUGACGCUGAGGAGCGAAAGCA